Molecule: ribosomal RNA, 472 nt
Filed under: uncultured bacterium
Lineage: Bacteria
Description: partial 16S ribosomal RNA
Rfam family: Bacterial small subunit ribosomal RNA
Source: RNAcentral
GACGAACGCUGGCGGCGUGCUUAACACAUGCCAGUCGAACGCUGAAGCUUGGUGCUUGCACUGGGUGGAUGAGUGGCGAACGGGUGAGUAAUACGUGAGUAACCUGCCCUUGACUCUGGGAUAAGCCUGGGAAACUGGGUCUAAUACUGGAUAUGACAUGCCACUGCAUGGUGGUGUGUGGAAAGGGUUUUACUGGUUUUGGAUGGGCUCACGGCCUAUCAGCUUGUUGGUGGGGUAAUGGCCUACCAAGGCGACGACGGGUAGCCGGCCGGAGGGGGUGACCGGCAACCCUGGGACUGAGCCACGGCCCAGACUCCUACGGGAGGCAGCAGUGGGGAAUAUUGCACAAUGGGCGGAAGCCUGAUGCAGCGACGCCGCGUGAGGGAUGACGGCCUUCGGGUUGUAAACCUCUUUCAGCACGGAAGAAGCGAGAGUGACGGUACGUGCAGAAGAAGCGCCGGCUAACUACGUG